UUUUUUUAAAUUUGCUAGCAAACAUGAUUAUUUUAACCAAUUACACGCCUUGUUCAUUAUAUUCUGUAGUGAAUACAGCGAUUUUGCGCGGGACAUCUUUUUUUAGCUAUUUGAUUACUUCAGGGUUUGGUCAAACAUAUUUUUCUCGUGGUCUUGGUUAACAGAAUUCUUAUAGAUACAUUGUCUUAUGUCUCCUUUUUUACCUUCACAAGUCAUGGAAGAUAGCUUAUGAAGGAUUCGACGACGCGUUGGCGCAGCGGUCACAGCACUGCAUGUUACGUAGGGUUUGAUCCCGCACAUGAGAAGCAUUUGUAGCGGCCAUAUAGUUUUUCGUGGUCUGAGCAUUUUGCUUCUGUAUUGUGUAUGCUUCCGGACCCGUGUGUGUGAAACGUUUAUUUAUUUAUUAAUCUGUUAAAAUAUUAACUUAUUCUGAAUUUAUCGUAUAUUUUUCAUCCAUUUGAAUAUCUGUAUUAAAAGUGCAGUUUCCCUUGUACAUAACGCUUAGAACUAUCUUAAAAUCAAAAUACAUUAGUCUGUUUUAAAAUAGAUCGCUUAAGGCGGUUCAGUUAUUAUUAUCUCUCUCACCUGUCGGAUCUCCAUCAAGCUAAUUGUUUUGUAUUUGCCAAAGUAUUUUCUGGGUUUAGGCUUUUAACUAAUUACGUAUGUUAUGUGAUAAUAUAAAUAUGAUGUUGAAUAUGUUAAGCAAGCAAUUUGAUUUAUAAUACAAUACAAUACAAAUAUA
This is a long non-coding RNA of Melitaea cinxia (Glanville fritillary), 742 nucleotides long. RefSeq lists it as uncharacterized. NCBI's taxonomy places the organism in Eukaryota, Metazoa, Arthropoda, Insecta, Lepidoptera, Nymphalidae. The transcript has 3 exons. The record is from RefSeq and is a predicted model, not a curated record.